RNAcentral lists this ribosomal RNA (327 nucleotides) under uncultured eukaryote. RNAcentral's name for it is "partial 18S ribosomal RNA". It matches the Rfam family "Eukaryotic small subunit ribosomal RNA", at positions 1470 to 1796 of the family's 1831-position model. The record is from RNAcentral.
CCCUUAGAUGUUCUGGGCCGCACGCGCGCUACACUGAUUCAUGCAACAAGUUUUGUCCUUGGCUGAUAGGCCUGGGUAAUCUUUGAACGUGAAUCGUGAUGGGGAUAGAUGAUUGCAAUUAUUCAUCUUCAACGAGGAAUUCCUAGUAAACGCAAGUCAUCAGCUUGCAUUGAUUACGUCCCUGCCCUUUGUACACACCGCCCGUCGCACCUACCGAUUGAAUGGUCCGGUGAAAUCUUCGGAUCUGAGAGAUGUCUGAUUAAUUUCGGACGCCUUUUGGAAAAGUUGCUUAAACCUUACCAUUUAGGGGAAGGUGAAGUCGUAACA